UACUAGAACAGCUAAAUUUAUUAAUGAAC
RNAcentral lists this non-coding RNA (29 nucleotides) under Mus musculus (house mouse). Lineage: Eukaryota; Metazoa; Chordata; Mammalia; Rodentia; Muridae. The record is from RNAcentral.